RNAcentral lists this long non-coding RNA (320 nucleotides) under Fukomys damarensis (Damara mole-rat). RNAcentral's name for it is "lncRNA (ENSFDAG00000029402.1)". Lineage: Eukaryota; Metazoa; Chordata; Mammalia; Rodentia; Bathyergidae. The record is from RNAcentral.
CUGGUGCUAUGAUUGUAAUGAAAAGUCUGCUCAGUGACAAGGGGAUGCCACACAGGCCUCCGAACCCUGGAAGUAGAUUCCACCGCAGAGUAGGAUGGCGGACCAUUUUCUUUAUUCCUCAGCCCCUGCCUCCCACUGUGAAGGCUGAAUGUGCAGAUAACACCUGGAGAGACCAGAGUGGCUACAGACCUGAAGGCUCCGGGAAAAGUCUCCCUCUCAUCAUCCCCUCCCUUCCUGUUACCACAGGCUUUCUGAGUUCAGAUCAUGGCUCUGUUUUGGAGAGAAGUUGGGAACUGCUACACAGAGCCAUUACACACUGA